Long non-coding RNA from Marmota monax (woodchuck), 9054 nucleotides. RefSeq lists it as uncharacterized. The record is from RefSeq and is a predicted model, not a curated record. NCBI's taxonomy places the organism in Eukaryota, Metazoa, Chordata, Mammalia, Rodentia, Sciuridae. The transcript has 20 exons.
CUUUCUCUCGCCAUGCACAAAAGUUAAUUCAAAAUGGAUCAAGGAGCUUGAUAUCAAAUCAGAGACACGCCGUCUGAUAGAAGAAAAAGUUGGCUACGAUCUACAUACUGUGGGGUCGGGCUCCAAAUUCCUCAAUAGGACACCCAUAGCACAAAAGUUAAUAACUGGAAUCAACAAAUGGGACUUACUCAAACUAAAAAGUUUUUUCUCAGCAAAAGAUACAAUAAGAGAGGUAAAUAGAGAGCCUACAUCCUGGGAACAAAUCUUUACUCCUCACACUUCAGAUAGAGCCCUAAUAUCCAGAGUAUACAAAGAACUCAAAAAAUUAGACAAUAAGAGAACAAACAACCCAAUCAACAAAUGGGCCAAGGACCUGAACAGACACUUCUCAGAGGAGGACAUACAAUCAAUCAACAAGUACAUGAAAAAAUGCUCACCAUCUCUAGCAGUCAGAGAAAUGCAAAUCAAAACCACCCUAAGAUACCAUCUCACUCCAGUAAGAUUGGCAGCCAUUAUGAAGUCAAACAACAACAAGUGCUGGCGAGGAUGCGGGGAAAAGGGUACACUUGUACAUUGCUGGUGGGACUGCAAAUUGGUGCAGCCAAUUUGGAAAGCAGUAUGGAGAUUUCUUGGAAAGCUGGGAAUGGAGCCACCAUUUGACCCAGCUAUUCCCCUUCUCGGUCUAUUCCCUAAAGACCUAAAAAGAGCAUGCUACAGGGACACUGCUACAUCGAUGUUCAUAGCAGCACAAUUCACAAUAGCUAGACUGUGGAGGGGUCUUUCUAAUACAGAGUUAUUUUUAAAAACAUGAAUAUCCUUAGGGACUUGUUUGGGGAGGUCAUUAGUGGAGAAAAGAAUCAGGGUAAUAUUUUUCUAAAACAUCUUUAUCAUUGGUUUUGAUUUUAUGUUUAAAUCAACAAAUUGUUUCUCUUGCAGUCCUCAUGGUUGAUAGAAAGACUAUCAUAUGAACCUCAGAUGGUAAAUGGAAUUGAAAGAAUGACUCUAGCAUUUAUCCAAAGGCAUGAUCCGAGGGAUGAAAAGGGACAGAAGUCUCCAUGAACAGGGCAAGAGACAAGCAAGCCAUGUGUGACCAGGUGGUGGUAUCAGAAGUAUCUAAUUUCCUGUUAGGAUUAUAACAUGUGAAGCUUGUCAAGCACAAGAGCCCCACUUACAGAUCUUGUGUUACAGGUUUCCAAAGACUGUGCAGCAAGCACACCAGCCAUAUAAUUCACCUAAAUUAAUUGUUAGACUUCCAGAGUAUUAUGUGCUUUGGUGAUUUUCAGCCUGGGAUCUUUCUGCUGCAUCUAUUGAGGAGCCCUCCAGAGAGUCGGCCACAGCACUGAGCCUUAGGAGGUGACAUUUGCCAUCUUUAGGUCUCAGAAUCACCUUGGUAUUUUACCUCGUAGUCCUGUCGAGGACAGGUCACCUGAAAAUGAAAUUCUGAGACACAAGAAGAAGAUGGGCUAUAAAGAAAAUGUCCCUCUUGCUCAAGGGAUAAACUCAACUCAAAGGGGUGGGAAGAACACUGUUGCAGAGUGAUAUUUUAAUAGAUGAUCCUCCCCCAUUGCCUGCAGCUCCUGUUGCCUCUGCUUCUAUCCACAACCCCAUUAAAAGAAGUUUCACCAGAGAUCAAGGAAAAAAAAAAGGCUUUUGAUUUUCAAAAGGCAAGACCCUGAGGGCACUUGGCAUUGAAACUGUAUGAUGAUUUGGAGCAAGGCUUCUAGCCCUGGUUGGACAUAAGGUUUUCCAGAUGUGCUAUUAGGGCAGUAAGGAUAGGGCUGGGUCCAGGGAAGCAGACAGAGCAGGUAAAUGCUGGUGUGGAGAGGAGAAGAAGAGGGAAGAGAAGACAGAGGGAUAGAGGGGAAGCAGAGGGCAUUGUUAGAUGCCCCUGGCCCCUCUCUUCUUUGAGAAACAGAUUCCAGACCCAGAUCCCCAGAAGGGAAAGUCCUGGAUGACAGAAAACCCAGAUGGUUUGAGGUUCCCAUCACUUCCCAAGUAGACCCCAAGAAGACUGAAAAACCCCAGAACAGAAAUGAAUAAGUGGUGUGUAGAGGACAGAUGGUCUGAGCUGGCCCCAAGGGAUUGAGCACAUCUGGCACAGUGUGCAAGUGUUAGGAUGAAUCCUCUGUGCUCUGCCAUCAGCAUAGUAAUAAAGGACCCAGAGCUUCCUAGCAGCCCUGUGGACAGAAAGCAGUGCAGUCAAUCCUCCUGUGUCAGCGGCUGAGAGAGAGUGCUGUACCUGAAGUCUCAGACUGGGCAACAGCUCAAUAGCAAGACUUAUAGGAACCAGAGGUCUCAGGCAUGCUGGUGCAGAGCCAGCAUCACACAGAGCUGGGCCUGCCUCCCCCCAUUCCCCUGCUCCAAUGCAGCCCCUGGGACAAGGGUUGAGGAAGCAGCAUCGAGUGAAGUUAUGGUUCUGACACUGGAUCUAGGCCCCCAAUAGAAAAGUCAUCAUGGAAAAAUAAAGUUAUAUCUCUUGUGCAAUUGGCUGUAUGGAUGGAGAUGUGAACUCAAAGGUGAAACCAUGCAAUUAAUCAAUAAAUUAAAACAAAUCAAGCACACCUGACACAACCACUCAGCCCCUCAUCUUUGGAAUUUGGAAUUUUGUGAAUCUCAGCAAAAUCUUGACCAUUGCUAUGUAGCUAGAUUAAGCACAGCCUUUCAGCUUAUUUCCUGCAGGCAAUGUGGCUGUCAGUGUCCUAGGAGCUGUCACUGUUUUCAACCACUGAGCCCUUGAAACAACAUCUGAAAUUAGGUAUCAUUCCAUUUGAUUGAUAAGUAAUUGUGCGCUCAACAAAAUGAAAUUGGAGGGACCGGCAUCUCCUUUGUGAAGUUUGGUGGAUAAGGCUGCGAAUGAUUCCUUCUUCCCCCAACAGCAUUUCCCUUUUCCUGUCCAUUCCUUGCCCUUUCUGCACCUUUACUCAAACUGCUCCUACUACUCAUACUGCACCUCUUCCCUGUCCUUUUGACAUCUUCCAUUUUCCAAGGCACAAUUCAAGUUUCAUCUGUUCCCAAACAGUUUUUCAGCCCUCUUCAUUAUUAUUAUUUUAUCCAUCUUCCUGGGGUGGUGGUUGUUGUUGUUUGUUCUUUUUAGCACUUCACAGACACUGGCCUGUUAUGAAAAUCAACUUUGCAUGGAGGGUUUGUGUCAGCUCUGGGUUGUGAACCCACAUGAGUUUCAUCUUGUGCAUCCAUAGCACCCACCAUGAAUUUGGUAUCCUAGCCUGGCAGAUAUUUUGGUAAUUGGAAUAUAAUAAAGCAUUAAUGCAUAUUUGUCAAACAAAAUUGAAUUUAAAAUUAUAAAACACAAAGGUAGUGAAGCAUGAGACAGAUGCUUAAAAGAAUUUUUAACUGAUCACGUCUUUGAUUCCCUUAUUGCUUUUCUUCUUUUUCCCCUAGUUAUUUAAAAAAAAAAUUUCAAGCAUAUAAAACAAGUUAAAGAAUUGUUCAGUGAAAACUCCUACAAUAAUCACCUAGCUUUUGUAAUAUGUAUUCUGUAGUGUUUAUCUGACUAUAUCUCUCCAUCUAUCCAUCUUUCUAACCCACCUCUCUGACUUUCAAAUAUAUUUAAUGUUUGAUAAACCUUUGGAAUCAGAUCUGGGAUUUAUUCCUGAAUUCAGCCUGUACUUACUGUGUGACCUUGGCUGUAUGUUUAACCUUUGUCUAUUUUCCUGUCUGCAAAAUAGGGAUGGACAAUAAUGCCUACUUCAUAGAGAGGGGUGGAGAAUCAAUGAGAUAGGGCAUGUAAAAGGCCAGGCACAGUGUGUGUUCAGCACAGGGUAGCAGGAGGAAAAGCAGAGGUGUUUCAAGUCACUGGCACUGAUCUGCAAAGAUAAAUGCUUCUGAUGUUUUUGCUUCCAGUCUCUGUUUUAGGUCCAGAAGGAAAAGAAAUUGAUAGGAGAUGAUCAAUUUUAGCCUCUUCUUGGUUGUGAGUGAGAGGUCCCUGGAUCUACCAGCAGCCUGGAGACCACUUGAAGGGAGCUUCAUCGUUUGUCCUCACCACCACACCUACCUGGCUGUCACCACGGGUCAGGCCCAACAAGAAGCAUCUUUGUUCAAAACAGAAAGACAUUUAUCACUGCAACCAGGGCACCUUAAAGGAAAAAGGAAAUUGAUGAUGGUAUAAAAGAAGGUCAUCGUAUUGGAAAAGAAGUAUAAAAAAAGUGGAAAUCAUGAAGCUGCAAAAGAACUCAGCAGAAAUAAAGAGAAAAAAUACCUGAUUUCUGAGCACAUUUUAUAUCCUGAACCAUUUUAUAGAAAUGAAGGAACUAAUUUAUUUUUAUAACACUUUCCAAGUGUCACACAGAAAGUUUUUAUGCUUCCAAGUACUCGGCGAGCCCCAUGGGAACACAUUCAUUCCAACUGAAUGAAUGAUGAUCAGCAAGGCCAUUUACCCUGUCUGCUGUGGCUGAUUGCCAGAAAACACCAGAAACAAAGGUGAGGUCUCUUUAGAUCAGCUAGCCUACAGUACAACCACAGGAACCUGAGUAAGCCCAGGAGACAUCAGCUGGACUGCAUCCACAUCAGCAGAACUUCUCUGCUGACCUCUGAUACUGUCUUUAAUUACCCUGGAAUUGCUUUGCACCUGCGACUGGGACUGUUCCAGAGGGUCCCCUCUCAGAGCUGUGUUUUCCACUCUGUUGGUCUGCGUCUCAUCACCUCUCCUCAGGGCAAGGACAGGGAGUUGUGCACAAAAGUAUCUGUCACAAGAGAAGCUGACAGCCAAUUACUAGAAGAAGCAAUGCUGGAUUAUAACCCAUCUUGUAUGUUCAUGCAUCUAUCAGGAUGUAUUUCAUGAGUACAGAAUGGAAAGAGCAAAAAGGAGUAACUUUAUGCUGGAAAAACCUGUCAGGCACUGUUCCUUAGCCAGAUGAUCAAGGUCAACAUCAGUAGUGAUGACUCAGGGAGCAGCUGGGUUUCCCCAUAAGCAUGUCUGGUACAGAUGACAGGCUACAGUGGUCAGCAAGGAAGGAAUCGUACCCCAGUACCUAGAUGGACUUCAGUGAGGAGGUAGAUAAGUGAAGGAGCCCUGAUUGAUGGCACUUGGUUUGGAAAUGGUCCCAGCAGUGGGAACAGUCACAGCCCAGACCAGAGGCAUGUCCAGUUAAAUCAGGCUGCCCAGAGAGAGGACCUGAAUCUUCUUUUUAAUGGGAGCAGCCGAACUUCUUCAGUCAAAAGCAGGUUUUUCAUCUGUAAAAUGGAGCUAGUAUAGAACCUUCCUGUGGUGAUGAAGAUUAAAUGAGGACUUCUGAAUGACCAUCACAGUCAUCUCUCUAGUGACCUUUCAGUGGCUUAACAUUUUGUUGCAAUGUACAAGUGAAGCUGGAAAACCGAGCCAAGUGACAAACUGUGAAGUAACAGCUCAGCCUUCAUAGAGUGGAUGUGCUCUGUGCUAUUUCUGGCCAGAGCAGAUGUGGCCUUGAUGGACAGUGGGAACAGCCUCUCUCAGGAAAUGCCAGUUGGAAUUUACCAAAGUGAUUGUAUAAUCCAAUGAAGCUUCUCCACUGACAAUCUGAAAAAACAUUGAUCUGGGAUACAUGCGUAAAUAGGGACUUACUGGGUCAUAGAUUGUGCCCAUUAUUGUCAAACUGUAAGUUUUGGCUCAUCCACUUAAUAGAACUGUAUGAUUUGGGAAAAGUUUCUUCAAGGGCACUCUCUCUUGUGACAGUCAGCAUUCUCCAAACCUGACAGAUACAGGUUUCCAGUUCCUUUUACAGGGAAUGUGGCAUCUUUCCAUAUGCCUCAGUUAUAGGCGGACACAACAUCUUUGUUUGUAUGUGGUGCUGAGGAUCGAACCCGGGCCGCACGCAUGCCAGGGUGGAGGAACCUGGGAACCUGACCUUUGAAUAUCAUCAGCCAUAUUGGCCACUGCCAUGUAGAGCCUGCAUCUUGGAACCAGUCUAGUCAUCGCUGCAAGAACUCACCAGAUUUCUCUCUCACGUUCCCUAAUAAAGGGCUUUUAGUCUCUGCACAGAUGGGAAUUCUGCUUCCCCCCUUCUCAUUUCACACUUCCUGUACUUUCUUUGCUAAGUAUUCAACUUCCCAAAAUAGAACACAGUUGUUUGAAUCUGUGUGAAGGAAUUUCAUUGGAGAGUAGACAAGGUAUCUGUAGCUCCCAAUAAUUACCACACCUGAGUUAAUUUUCUUAUUGGUUAUAAAACAGAUAAAGGAUACAGAAGAGGGCUCAGAGGCCUCUCAAAGAACAGCAUUGGGUUUUCUUUCAUGAGAGGACCCAUGAUGGAGCAGGGCAUUAAUGCCAAAGUGUGAACAAUGAGGAAGGAGAGGACAGGAACUUUUGUCUGGUCAGCCACCCACUGGUUUCCUUUAUGAAUCUCAUAUUCUCAUGAGGUCUUCUUCUGAUUGUAUCUCCCCUUCCUCUCUACCUUAUUUCAUUGAGCUUCCAUAUUCCUUUCUGCCUAAAUGAAUUCUCUUCAUCCUUCAAGGUCUAGUUCAAAUCUAACCUCUGCUGGGAAGACUUCCUGGAACUCUUGACCUAGAAGUGAUUUCCCUGUUGUCCUCUUGUAUUCCAGACCUUUACCCCAGUUCUCAAUCAACGAUGCACAAUUCCCUACAGUAUACACUGCCCUUCCAGAAGGCCAAGGAGAUGGGUCCAUAGCAGGGGACUCUUCACAGAUAAUGGGGAACUGAAAGUGGAUCAGAAAGGGAAAACACCUGAACUCUAUAAAACAAGAACACUAUAAAUGAAUUAUUAAAAUAAUUCAUUUAAGGAUCCCAUAUAUGGUUACCACCUUGCCUCGUCAUCACCAAAUUCAUUGAGACCUUGGUAAGGAAAGAGGCAAAUGGAAAUAAGAGAAAAAAAGAAGUGAAGAGAGGUGUUCUAGAUGCAGACAACCUUGCAGUCCUGAGUCCUGGGUCCACCAUUUAUCAGAACAGCUUUGCACAAGGUUCUAGGAUCCCUAUUUUAUAGGGCAUGGCAACAUGCUAAAGGAGGAUGGAGCCCUUCCCCCAGCCAGAAGGAAUGGAGGGUAGUCAGCUUAUGUCAAGCAUGUAAAUUUUAUUUUCCUUUCCCCAUGAUUGCUUUGGGAAUGGGAAAGGGACCCAGUUCUGAGUAAUAAGAUCAAAUGGACAGUCUAGUGGUGGGUUCGACUCAGAAGCUUUUUUGUUUCCUGCUAUAAAGAGAAGCAGCAAGUUCCCUCCUCCAUGACUUAAAUGCAAUUAUGUAUGAAUGUGGUACCUGGAGCUGCAACAAUUAUUUUGUGAUCAUAAGCCAACAAUCCAAAGAGCAAAAGUAGAACAAUAACAGAACGUGGAGUUUUUGAUGAUAUUAUUGAAUUGUUGAAUUAAUUUAGAAUAAUCUAUAUCUAGACUUUCCAUGAUUUGUGAGAUGAUUAAAAUUUUCUAUUGUUGUAGCCAGUAUUUUUCUCUUACAUGCAACCAAAAACAUCUUGUGUCAUAUAAACACUAUCCAACUUGUGUUGUAAUUUGUCCAUUUUCACAUUUGUAAGUUCUAUUUUUAUUGAUUUUUGUAUUCCUAGCACUGAGUAUAAGACUGGCACUUAGUAAGACUUUAACAAUUGAUUGAAAAGGUGUUAAAUGCAGGAUUCAAUUUUAGGUUCUGUGAAACUCUGAUUGUCUCAUUUCAAAUUCAUUUCUAUUACUAGGAAAAAAGAAUUAUUGAGAAGCACUAUGAAAAAUGUCCACAAUAAAAACAUACAGUGUUACCUGUCAUAAAUAUAUAAAUAAUUACUGGUAUAGUAGCUACUGCUGAGAAAUGUCUCUUGAAGAUUCCCAGAAAUUCCUGUCAGUCACAUUAAGACCUGUCUCUGGUGAUCAUUCCUUCUGGACCCAAAUCAGUGUACAUAGCCAUGGAGUAUUUAAAGUGAUAUUGCUCUAGAAAACCUAGGAUGUGUGUUUUGUACAUUUAGUAAGGAUUUCUUUAAUAUCUUCUACUUACCAGGCACUUCAUUAAGCACUGGGGAUGAGAAAUGAACCACCACUCGGCCCUUAUCCAUGAAAAGCUUAAGUGCCAAUACAAAGCUACUGACCUACAUGGAAGUGGUCACAAAUCUCAUGCCCAGUCCUCUUAGAAUAGCAUGGUGUUACCACUGAGUUAACUAAGAAAACCGAAUUCUUAGGCAUUUAUCUUUGACGAUGUUCACAAAAUGGUGAAAUGGAAAUUUCCCAGGCUCAGCCUUCCUGAGCCGAGUCUGUUUUGGAAGGUGACUUUCUGCUGUAGUUGCACUCAGCCUUCAACAUGAACCUCUCAUCCUCUAGAGGCACUCCUAGCCCAGAGUGUGCCCUCUGCAUGGUUCUCCCAGAAUAGCUAUUCCAAGAGGAAAAGGGGUUUGGGUGAAUAUUUGAGAAGAUUAUGGGUAGUGCCUAGCUUCCCUACCAAUCAGCACAUACAAAGAAAAUACCAAUCCGAGCCCAUUCUCCUCCUAGCCAACCAAAGGAGGCCAGAGCUCUUGUGCUCAGCACCAUUGGUUCCCCAGGCUCAAGAGCUCCUCUCAGUCCCACAUGGAGUUUAAGUGCACAAAAACACCAAACUUAGAACUAUUAAUUUCCUCACUAAUCUGCCUUUUGUAGAAAUUGCUGGAAACUGGCUUUUCUAUCCCUCUCCCCUAACAUGAGCCUUCCCACCAUCCCUUAAAGACAUUUUUCUCUUCUCUCCUGUCAUUAAGCUUUUAGAGAUGUCCUGGCCUUCUGCUAGUUGCUCCAGUUGUAUUUUUUCUCCUUGAAGAGGCAUGGAUACCAAAGCCUUACUGGGAAUGAAUCCUAGUUCCUCCACUGAACAGCUGUCGGAUUCAAGUUAGGAUCACUCCCUGUGGCUCAGUUUCUACAUCUAUAAAAUGGAAAUUUACCACCUUUGCUCUCAGAGUUCCCAUCUUGGGCUUCCAGCUUGCAUCCUUGACCCCUUCUGAGCUGACCUCCUACAGUCACCCUUCACCACACAGACUCAUGUUUGUGGAACCACCAAGUGUAACCAUCGCUAUAUUCAAGACUCAUCUGCACCUGGUUUAUGGGAAAAAAGUUUGUGGGGAAAAAGUCUUAAAACUGUGUAUGUACUAUAUGUGCCUUUUUAUGUACAGAUGU